Molecule: long non-coding RNA, 218 nt
Filed under: Manihot esculenta (cassava)
Lineage: Eukaryota; Viridiplantae; Streptophyta; Magnoliopsida; Malpighiales; Euphorbiaceae
Description: long non-coding RNA (MESC_LNC006452)
Source: RNAcentral
GUCGGCGGAGAGGCAUCUUCCCUCAAUAAAAACUGGACUGUACUGGCAGACUGACACUGCCACUGACGGGUCACACUUGGGUCCACUGACCCAUAGGGGACACUCUAACCCAGAGACUAUCAGACCCAACCUCUCAACGGCUCUCGGAGCAAUAAAAGAAUGAGAUGCACCCGGGUCUAUUAAUGCAUACACAUCAGAACACCCAAUGACGAGAUUAC